This 253-nucleotide ribosomal RNA is filed under the name uncultured bacterium. Its description in RNAcentral is "partial 16S ribosomal RNA". It matches the Rfam family "Bacterial small subunit ribosomal RNA", at positions 524 to 776 of the family's 1533-position model. The record is from RNAcentral.
UACGGGGGGGGCAAGCGUUGUUCGGAAUUACUGGGCGUAAAGGGCGCGUAGGCGGCCUGUUAAGUCGAACGUGAAAUCCCUGGGCUCAACCCAGGAACUGCGUCCGAUACUGGCAGGCUUGAAUUCGGGAGAGGGAUGUGGAAUUCCAGGUGUAGCGGUGAAAUGCGUAGAUAUCUGGAGGAACACCGGUGGCGAAGGCGGCAUCCUGGACCGAUAUUGACGCUGAGGCGCGAAAGCCAGGGGAGCAAACGGG